RNAcentral lists this long non-coding RNA (1469 nucleotides) under Pan troglodytes (chimpanzee). RNAcentral's name for it is "long non-coding RNA NONPTRT000438". Lineage: Eukaryota; Metazoa; Chordata; Mammalia; Primates; Hominidae. The record is from RNAcentral.
GAUAGUUGGCAAUGCCUCUUUGCGGCUGAAAAACGUGCAACUCACAGAUGCUGGCACCUACAAAUGUUAUAUCAUCACUUCUAAAGGCAAGGGGAAUGCUAACCUUGAGUAUAAAACUGGAGGUGAGUUACUUUUGGAGAGAGAUUUUUUAAAGCACCAAAAGUAUUUGAGGCUAAAGAUUAUGAGUUGCUUAUGAAAUAUGUUGUGAUCAAUAUCAGACAAUGAUGCUCCCAAUUCUGCUAACAGCUAUUUUUGCCAUUUUAUGGCCAAGACCCACACCAACCCCAGAAGGAGCCAACUAUAAGAGAGGCCUUAAAAAUCUUUUGUUCUGGGUUCUCUCUGCUUCAGAAUUUCCAGGUGUGUUCUCUAUUCAACAAAAUAAAUGUAGCCUCUUUUGUGGCAGCCCUUGGUACAGCUAAUAAGAGCAGCCUAGCCUGGGACAUUUCCAUGCUAAGUAGACCCAAGCCCAAUCCUGAAAUCAGUAUCUUCAGAGACUCAUGACAGUGAGUGCGUUUUGGAAGUUCAAAGAGAACUAACCAAAAUGAAAACAACAUUGUCCUAUAAACUCAUUAAUUCCCCUUCCCCUGCAACAAUGAAAUCCACCCUUUGUUGCCAACCCAAUUUAAAAUAUGUUUUCUGAAUUUAUAUACAAGGGACUCAGGUACUGUGAGGAGUACAAAGAUGAUUAAAGAGAUUUCCCCUACCCUUACAGAGCUCAUAAUAUAGAUCUCACAGAGUUAGGGGUCAGGACAGAGAUAAUAAAAGUCUGUAAAUGAUAAUAAUUAGUAAAGUGUAUCAAAUGCUUUAAGAGAAAUAUAAAUGGAGUGAUUGAGAAGAAGAGAGAGAUCCCGUUCAAAUGCAUAGGAGGGAAGGGAUGGGAAAGCCCCCUGGAGAAGCUGGCAUUUGAGGGGAGCCUUGAAGGAUAGGCAGAAACCCUCCAGGGAGAAAAAUACAUAAAAUCCAGAAGCUUCACAGAUCCCUAGGAAAAUGCCUAAUUUCCCUAAGGGAUAAGCUUUUUUAUGACCACUGAAGUUCCUCUUACUUGGAGAAAAUUUUCUAUUGUAACAAUAAUAUACCUAGAAUUUAGGUCCUUGGGGUUUGUGAUUGGCCAAAGGGUUGUGAUGUAUAGCAAUACUAUGAGCAAAUAAUUAUUCGCACCUAUAAUACAAUGGGCCAUACACAGGUGGACCUCUGAGGAAGUACUGAGUGGCUUCAAUGAUUAAAAAAAAAAAAAAAUGACUGCAUUUUUAAGACCUAGCGCUUCAAAGGCUAUAUUGUCUUAUGUGUCUGACUUUGGCAUCUGCCCUUUCUGACUUUUGACCCUGCAGCCUUCAGCAUGCCGGAAGUGAAUGUGGACUAUAAUGCCAGCUCAGAGACCUUGCGGUGUGAGGCUCCCCGAUGGUUCCCCCAGCCCACAGUGGUCUGGGCAUCCCAAAUUGACCAGGGAGCCAACUUCUCGGAAGUCUCCA